CCUAUUUUUGGCGGGGACUGGGCAUGCGGUCCCGCUCCCCGUUAUGUGCUGAGGCAGAGGGAAAGGGCUGCAGCCCUCAGUGCCGGUGGCUUCUUGUCUGCCACUUCUAUCUUCAAACACCGGGACAAGG
RNAcentral lists this small nucleolar RNA (130 nucleotides) under Nannospalax galili (Upper Galilee mountains blind mole rat). RNAcentral's name for it is "Small nucleolar RNA SNORA57 (ENSNGAG00000003118.1)". It matches the Rfam family "Small nucleolar RNA SNORA57". Rfam says of the family: U99 belongs to the H/ACA class of snoRNAs which are thought to guide the sites of modification of uridines to pseudouridines, the target for this family is unknown. Lineage: Eukaryota; Metazoa; Chordata; Mammalia; Rodentia; Spalacidae. The record is from Rfam by way of RNAcentral.